Molecule: long non-coding RNA, 495 nt
Organism: Salvia hispanica
Lineage: Eukaryota; Viridiplantae; Streptophyta; Magnoliopsida; Lamiales; Lamiaceae
Source: RefSeq, a predicted model, not a curated record
AGGAAAAAGAAAAUAGAAAUUAAAAUUCAUCCUCAUCCUUCUCCUCUCCUUUUCGCGCUCUCUCUACGCUACCCUCUUUCUCUCUGUAAAAUUUCAACAACUCUCUACUCCCUCCGAUCAGCCACCGUGAUAUCUCCAAUCACUCCACCGGGAAGCAUGCUGUACCCACUGCCAAUCCAAGCUCUCAAUUUUCCCUAGUUUUUCUCAAUUUUGGAACUGAGGUUGCAAACCCACUUCCAUUUAGAUUUUCAAAUUAGUUGAAAUUAGAGGUGAACCGAGUGCAGGCACAAGCGAUACUGGAAAGGGGCACAUCCAUGGUUGACUAAACAGGUAAUAGAGUUUUUGUGACGUGUACAGAGUUUAGAAGCGAAUGAUCUCGCUCGUGGGCAGCUGCACGUGGCAUGCUUAGGCUAACUUUUGAUUGUAUAUAGUUGGUUUGGAGAUGUAAGGUUAUGUAACCUUCUUUUGCUAAUGGGAUUGUAAAUAAUUGUCGAA